UACGUAGGUGGCAAGCGUUGUCCGGAUUUACUGGGCGUAAAGAGCGCGCAGGCGGUCGUUCAAGUCGCGUGUGAAAGCCCCCGGCUCAACUGGGGAGGGUCACGCGAUACUGAUCGACUCGAAGGCAGGAGAGGGUAGUGGAAUUCCCGGUGUAGUGGUGAAAUGCGUAGAUAUCGGGAGGAACACCAGUGGCGAAGGCGACUACCUGGCCUGUUUCUUGACGCUGAGGCGCGAAAGCUAGGGGGGCAAACGGG
RNAcentral lists this ribosomal RNA (254 nucleotides) under uncultured bacterium. Its description in RNAcentral is "partial 16S ribosomal RNA". It matches the Rfam family "Bacterial small subunit ribosomal RNA", at positions 524 to 776 of the family's 1533-position model. The record is from RNAcentral.